CAAUAGCGUAUAUUUAAGUUGUUGCAGUUAAAAAGCUCGUAGUUGGAUUUCGGGUGGGACGCAGCGGUCUCGCAUUGCGUUUGUACUGCUGCAGCCCCCCUUCUUGCCGGGGGCGGCCUCUCGGACUUCACUGUCUGGGGGUCAGAAUCGGCGAUGUUACUUUGAGUAAAUUAGAGUGUUCAAAGCAAGCUUACGCUCUGAAUAUAAUAGCAUGGGAUAACACGACAGGACUCUGGCCUAUCGUGUUGGUCUAUAGGACCAGAGUAAUGAUUAAGAGGGACAGUCGGGGGCAUUCGUAUUCCGUUGUCAGAGGUGAAAUUCUUGGAUUUACGGAAGACGAACAUCUGCGAAAGCAUUUGCCAAGGAUGUUUUCAUUGA
RNAcentral lists this ribosomal RNA (378 nucleotides) under uncultured eukaryote. Its description in RNAcentral is "partial 18S ribosomal RNA". It matches the Rfam family "Eukaryotic small subunit ribosomal RNA", at positions 592 to 976 of the family's 1831-position model. The record is from RNAcentral.